Molecule: long non-coding RNA, 439 nt
Organism: Sciurus carolinensis (gray squirrel)
Lineage: Eukaryota; Metazoa; Chordata; Mammalia; Rodentia; Sciuridae
Exons: 3
Source: RefSeq, a predicted model, not a curated record
UCCGCCAUAUCGGGCAUUCAGCUCUAGGCUUCACUCUCCUGCUUAGGAUUACCAGGUCGCUCUGCUGAAGGGGCUGAAGGUCUCUAGGGAGAAGGACUGGCUCCUGAACACCCAGAAAUGGAAUUGUUGACAUUCAGGGAUGUGGCCAUUGAUUUCACUGAAGAGGAGUGGAAAUGCCUUCAACCAGCUCAAAAAAACUUAUAUAGAAAUGUGAUGUUAGAGAAUUACAGAAACUGGUCUUCCUAGGAAUGAGACUCUUCACCCCUCAUCAGCAGGAAGAAGCUACAGAAGAAGGACCAUUGUAGCAUCCCUGGUAUCUAUAAAAACAAAAUGGGAUGAAUAUUGGAAUCAGAUCUGCCAUUUCACUGCCACCAUUAUUCUGCCCCUCCACACCAUUUUACAACCUAGAUUGUUAGCCUAAGAACUUUCUAGUCAAUCA